AUUAAAUCUAUAAAUUCAAUUAAACUCAACUCUAUUGGUUGGUUCAGACAUUUUAACAUUAGAUCUUUUCACCUUAGAACUGCCUCUAUUUCUUCAUUUAUUUAAAUUAUCAUCUUUUAAAUGUUCUAACAAGGUUUUGAAGUCUUUUUUUUUUUUUGUCUUUUUGCUAUUUCUUGGGCCGCUCCGGCAGCAUAUGGAGGUUCCCAGGCUAGGGGUCCAAUCGGAGCUGUAGCCACCGGCCUACGCCAGAGCCACAGCAACGUGGGAUCCGAGCCGCAUCUGCAACCUACACCACAGCUCACGGCAAUGCCGGAUCCUUAACCCGCUGAGCAAGGGCAGGGAACCCCCCACCUCAUGGUUCCUAGUCGGAUUUGUUAACCACUGCGCCACGACAGGAACUACUUGAAGUCUUCUUUUUAAAAGUCACAUUAUAUAUUUUCUAACCAUUUUAAAUUUGGGAAUUUGUGAGUGUGAUUGUGUGUGCGUUUGUGUGUGUGUGUGUGUUUAUAAAUCAGAUCUCUUUUUUCAUUAUGUUAUCUACAGAUAAGGGUAGUAGGAUGUCCUGUCUUUGUCUUGAAAUCAAACUACCUAAUUUAAAUGAACUUAAAUGAAGUUAUAGAUCUGGGACUUGCUACCUACUUGUUGAUCCAGUCUCACCUGGUGUAUCAGUUACGUUGGGUUUGAUUGUAGGUAACAGAAAACCUAAGUGAAACUGCUAGUCAAGAGAGGCUUACAUCCCUGAGGUUAGUUCGGCAGCUCUACCAGGUAAUGAAGGGUUUGAUUUCCUUUUAGCUCUUCACUCUGCAGGGGCCACAUAGUCUUCGAGGCUGGUGGUCCUUGUGGUGUUCACAGGACCAACAGUAUUGAUUAUGCCUAUGUACAUCCUUACUUAAAUGUCCAUUAAAAAAAGACAGUGUUUCUUUUCUAGACCUUCCCCCAUCCCCACCCUCUUCUUUUUUUCCAUACCUUUUUCUUAUUGGCUUAGCUUAGGUCUUUGCUCACUACUGAACCAAUAACUGUGGCUGGGGGUAUGAAAUUACACUAUUUAGCUUGGACUUGAGUUGGAGGUGUUGGAAUUAUUCUCCCUAAGUAUGUGGGCUUCAAGUAGGAGGAAUGAGUACCCCACCCCCACCCCAGCCUCCACCACCAAGUUAGAGCAGUCACUGAGGGAUGAACAAUGCAUGUUGGGAAGGCAGACGUAAUAUCCACUAUACUGGACAUGUCACUUUUCCCAGGACACCUGCCCUGCUGCCGUAAGUCCAAGUCCUGUGUCCUUGUUAUGUGAUCUUGUAAUACAGAGGACCAUACCACAGUAGAUCUGCCCAUUUACUACUGGGACCAGAAAAAAGUAAUGUAUUUAUAAUCCCCUGGCUUUCUUAUAAGGAGGGGAUAUCUUAUUAAUGAGGGGACCUUUGCUUGACACUUGAGAUGUGAGAAAUAGUCUGCAUAGGAAGGAAGAGCCAUAGAGUGGCCUGCAUGGCAGACCCUGGGCCAUGGGUGGGAGAUGGGGGAGGGUAGAAUGGAGUCAGGUAAGCAGGUUAAGGAGUGAUGUGGGAAAAAUAAAGAUGUUUAUGGGGGACUUUUGGAGAGAAAUUCUGUGCAUUGUGAAGUGUAAACUUUUUCCCUUAUGUAUUUUUCAGUAAAAUAUCCUUUCUUCCUGGCCUAAGAGAGUGGAUCUAUUUUAGGAGGAUGCAGAGAAAGGCAGAGGUUUGCAUUCAAGGUGGCAGAGCAAGAGUGAGGGUGAACGUUGGAACAUCAUGACAUUGAGUUUCACCCAACUCACUCCUCCCUUCACUCCAAGUCCUGUGAGGACAGACCAGGUCUGCCUAGCUCAGUGCCUAGGACCCAGGAGCUUAGCUAGUAUUUGUGAAUGAAUGAAUGAUAAGCUUGGUAAAAUCUGAGAAACCUUUGCCAAAUCUCAAGUCUGCCACUUUCUCACCUGUGGAAUGGGGAAAAUGGUAAUCACCAUGUUGCCUUGUGGUGAGAUUUAAGUCUAAUUUCAUAAAUGGAAACCAAGACCACGAUUAUUAUCUCUUCCCAAAUUCUACCAGCUAGCCUACAAAUACUCACAAUAACAACUGCUAAAAUCUGUGGAACAUUUUCUCUGAGCAAGACCCUUUCGUAAGCACUUCACCUGCAUUACCUCCUUUAAUAUUAAUCCUUUUAAUCACCUGUAAUUAUCGAGGUGUCAGCUCUCCCUCCAGGAUGUCCUACAUGCUCAGCAUCCAAUGAUAUCUCUCAGCACUCAUGGGCACCAGAAUCGAAAUAGGCAGAGAAGGAAUCCUUUGCUGAACUGUUAGCAGCUACUCCACUCUUGAGAUGCACAGCUUGGCUGCCCUAACAAGGCUGGGCAAAAUAUAAGUGCGUGGCAAAUUACUUGUAAUAGAGACAUGAUGAAUUCACAGUUGUUGUAGCAACAGAGACCCCAUGACCUUAGAGGCAGGCAGAGGCUGAGCCUGUGGUCACCAGUGAUGGGAAAAGUCAAGGGUGGAUUUGUGAGCACCAGGAAUCAGUGGGCUUUAUUUUCUGGCAUGGUCUAUUCCUGGAACAGCUGAAAAUUCUGAGGACUAAAUUCAGACUCCUGGAUGAGACUCAAAGAUUGCCUGGUGAGAAGGAGAGAACCUCUGGGCAUAUUAACCUCUGGGGAUGUUAGUUUUCUCAUUUCUAGAAUAGGAAUAAUAACAUCUGAUUCCUUAUCUCUCGUAGGACUAUCUGAGUGUUUAAUGAAGCAAUGUUCAGAAUUCCUCUAUGGAAAAAUGCUACAGAGAUACAAAUUAUUUCGAUAACUAAAUGUAAAUGAGCAUAUGUACUCCAAAAAACUGAAAGGAAAAAAAUGCAGACUCAUUUAAGAUUAAUUUCUUGAAAUUCCCUGGUGGCUCAGUGAGUUAAUGAUCCAGUGUUGUCACUGCUGUGGCUCAGGUUGCUGCUAUGGUGUGGGCUCGAUCCCUAGUCCCAGAACUUCUGCAUAUUGUGGGUGUGGCCAGAGUAAAAGAGAGAAAAAAGAUUAAUUUCUCCAUGAGUUUCAGAUCUGUGUUGUGUACUGAAAUCUCCACAAUAAUACAUUUACAAUUCUACAUGUAUAUGUGAUAUAAAUAAAUGUACUCUUAUAAUCACAGAUGCUCUUAGAUUCAGAAUCAUGUGCUUCUUGCUAUUCUUAACUCCUUAGAUUUCUGUCUUGCCAAAAAUACCAAGUGAUCAAUUCGACGAUAUUAUAACACUGUGUCUGAAGUUGUCAUUUGAUUUACAAGUCAAAGGGAUUGCUCAAAGCUUAAAGCACGUGGUAAAGAAAUGAGGUAACAAGAAAAGCUGACUUUGAGAUUUUCAAAUCUUCUAGACUAAAAUAACUCCAUUGUGCAGGAGAAAUGUUUUAAUCAAAAUCAGAAGAGGAUUUUAAUCAAUUCCUGUCAUGGCUCAGUAGUUAAUGAACCUGACUAGUGUCCAUGAGGAGGGGGGUUCGAUCCCUGGCCUUGCUCAGUGAGUUAAGGAUCCGGCGUUGCCAUGAGCUGUGGCAUAGGCUGGCAGCUACAGCUCCGAUUCAACCCCUAGCCUGGGAAACUCCAUAUGCCUUGGGUGCAGCCCCCAAAAAA
Molecule: long non-coding RNA, 3587 nt
Filed under: Sus scrofa (pig)
Lineage: Eukaryota; Metazoa; Chordata; Mammalia; Artiodactyla; Suidae
Description: lncRNA (ENSSSCG00030071305.1)
Source: RNAcentral